GAUUAANAANGUACCGAAAUGCGAUACUUGGUGUGAAUUGCAGAAUCCCGUGAACCAUCGAGUCUUUGAACGCAAGUUGCGCCCGAAGCCUUUAGGCCAAGGGCACGUCUGCCUGGGCGUCACGCAUCGCGUCGCCCCAAUCCAUGCUCGUUGAG
This 155-nucleotide ribosomal RNA is filed under the name Peplidium muelleri. RNAcentral's name for it is "5.8S ribosomal RNA". The stretch from base 1 to 122 matches the Rfam family "5.8S ribosomal RNA", at positions 35 to 154 of the family's 154-position model. Rfam says of the family: 5.8S ribosomal RNA (5.8S rRNA) is a component of the large subunit of the eukaryotic ribosome. The record is from RNAcentral. Lineage: Eukaryota; Viridiplantae; Streptophyta; Magnoliopsida; Lamiales; Phrymaceae.